GUGCGAGACCGAUAGCGAACAAGUACCGUGAGGGAAAGAUGAAAAGAACUUUGAAAAGAGAGUUAAAGAGUACCUGAAACUGCUGAAAGGGAACCGAGUCGUAUCUAGUGUCUAUAAUCUGUGGCAUAUUCCAUUGUCGAGUGAGUGCGUGCGGUGUUUUGGAAGUGGUUUACCGCUCCUAAUGCUGUUGUGCGUUUAUUUGGUGGUGCUCUGUGUCAUGGUGGGACGUCAGAGUCAGUUUGUAUGCUGCGGGAAAUGGCUGCCGGGAAGGUAGGUCGCUUCGGUGACUGUUAUAGCCUGGCGUGCUAGUUGUCGUGGUUGAGACUGAGGUGCCUA
This 336-nucleotide ribosomal RNA is filed under the name uncultured Oomycota. Its description in RNAcentral is "eukaryotic LSU rRNA". It matches the Rfam family "Eukaryotic large subunit ribosomal RNA", at positions 326 to 611 of the family's 3401-position model. The record is from RNAcentral. Lineage: Eukaryota; Oomycota.